RNAcentral lists this ribosomal RNA (1306 nucleotides) under uncultured bacterium. Its description in RNAcentral is "bacterial SSU rRNA". It matches the Rfam family "Bacterial small subunit ribosomal RNA", at positions 28 to 1381 of the family's 1533-position model. The record is from RNAcentral.
AACGUACGCUGGCGGCACGCCUAACACAUGCAAGUCGAACGAAGUAGCAAUACUUAGUGGCAGACGGGUGAGUAACAUGUAGGUAUCUGCCCUUUGGCCUGGAAUAACACGAGGAAACUUGUGCUAAUACCGGAUAAGUCUUUACGGAGAAAGCUUUAUGCACCAUUGGAUGAGCCUGCACUUGAUUAGUUUGUUGGUGGGGUAAUGGCCUACCAAGACUGUGAUCAAUAGCUGAUUUGAGAGGAUGAUCAGCCACAUUGGGACUGAGACACGGCCCAAACUCCUACGGGAGGCAGCAGUGGGGAAUCUUGCACAAUGGAGGAAACUCUGAUGCAGCGAUGCCGCGUGAGUGAGGAAGGCCCUUGGGUUGUAAAGCUCUUUCGUCGGGGAAGAAAAUGACUGUACCCGAAUAAGAAGGUCCGGCUAACUUCGUGCCAGCAGCCGCGGUAAUACGAAGGGACCUAGCGUAGUUCGGAAUUACUGGGCUUAAAGAGUUCGUAGGUGGUUGAAAAAGUUAGUGGUGAAAUCCCAGAGCUUAACUCUGGAACUGCCAUUAAAACUUUUCAGCUAGAGUAUGAUAGAGGAAAGCAGAAUUUCUAGUGUAGAGGUGAAAUUCGUAGAUAUUAGAAAGAAUACCAAUUGCGAAGGCAGCUUUCUGGAUCAUUACUGACACUGAGGAACGAAAGCAUGGGUAGCGAAGAGGAUUAGAUACCCUCGUAGUCCAUGCCGUAAACGAUGUGUGUUAGACGUUGGAAAUUUAUUUUCAGUGUCGCAGGGAAACCGAUAAACACACCGCCUGGGGAGUACGACCGCAAGGUUAAAACUCAAAUGAAUUGACGGGGACCCGCACAAGUAGUGGAGCAUGUGGUUUAAUUCGAAGAUACGCGCAGAACCUUACCAACACUUGACAUGUUCGUCGCGACUCUAAGAGAUUAGAGUUUUCGGUUCGGCCGGACGAAACACAGGUGCUGCAUGGCUGUCGUCAGCUCGUGUCGUGAGAUGUUGGGUUAAGUCCCGCAACGAGCGCAACCCUCACUUUUAGUUGCCAUCAUUAAGUUGGGCACUCUGAAAGAACUGCCAGUGAUAAGCUGGAGGAAGGUGGGGAUGACGUCAAGUCCUCAUGGCCCUUACGUGUUGGGCUACACACGUGCUACAAUGGUAUCUACAACAGGAAGCAAGACUGCGAAGUUAAGCAAAUCCCUAAAAGAUACCUCAGUUCGGAUUGCACUCUGCAACUCGAGUGCAUGAAGCUGGAAUUACUAGUAAUCGUGGAUCAGCGUGCCACGGUGAAUGCGUUCCCGGGUCU